This is a long non-coding RNA of Zalophus californianus (California sea lion), 2848 nucleotides long. RefSeq lists it as uncharacterized. The record is from RefSeq and is a predicted model, not a curated record. The transcript is spliced from 3 exons. Lineage: Eukaryota; Metazoa; Chordata; Mammalia; Carnivora; Otariidae.
UGUAGGCACACACGGCAUUUGGCACUCGAUUUGGAAAGAUGCCCAGCCCUGAGGCUCAUCUGGGCAAGAGCACAAGCAGGUGGAGCUGGGUGGAGGGGGGGGUGGAGGUUGCUGGGAGACCCUGGGCUCAGGCAGCUCUGCCUGUGGGCCCCGGGGAAAGAGGCAAGGCCAGGCCAGGGAUCCCGGGCCUCCUCCUUCCCCAGGAAUCCAGCUCCUCUCUCCAGCUCAUCUAUGCAAGCACCCAGAUGAAGGCACCUUCUGCACGAAUGGCAGCUUUGUCUCCAAGAUUCCGUCAGUGUGGGUGGUGGUGUCGGGAAGAGCUGUGAGCAAGCCAAGGCGGCUGUGAUGACAGAUGAGGCUGUGAGCACACGUGGGACGUUUUAAAAUACUCUCAGAGACGCCUCCAUGGUGGCGCCCAACUAGAAACCGGAGGGCAAGGACCUUGCUGAGGCAGCACAGAGUGGGCAGCCCUCAGGACGGAAGGCCAGGAGGGCACCCAAGGAAGACUAGACGCUGGCUGCCACGCUGGGAUGUGGACCAGCAAGGCCAAUGAUGCUGUUUUUCAAUGGAACUUGGAAAUCUGGAUUUUUACACACCAUCUUUGCAUUUGUGAAUGCUGGCAACUCACUGAAGAUAUUUUUCAAGCACUGUCUGGGCCCAGGCAACACGUGUCUGGGAGCUGCUGGUUUGACGUCUCCGAGCCAACAUCAGGAGGGGAAUCCAGAGCACUUGCCGGUAGAAGGGCAGCCCCUUCAAAGGGCCAGGCACUGAACCUCCCAGCAGCCAGACUCACUUCUUUGGGUCCACAAUGCCCCCUCCUCCCAGUGACACACUUGGCACCUUGGGGCGUACAAAGAUGGCUAAGAUCCAGUUCCCCCCUAAAGACUCUCACAGCCGAGGGAGGGCAGUGGUAAGAAACUCGCCAUCCAGAACACGCUCAGGAGAGCUGGGACGGGCGUGAAAACCACAGAGGACAUGGGAGCAGAGUGGAGGCUCCAACAACCCGCCUGGGGCUGAAGCAAGGCUUCGAGAUGGAAGUCACAGCCAGGGGAGUGUGAGAACCAGGCCCGGGGGGGGAAAGAACAGAAUCUGUGUGAAACAAAUGCAAGAAGUGUGGGCAAUCGGGUGUAUCAAGUACAGGGGCGACAUGGCCCAAGGAGAGGAUGGUGGGGGGUCACAGAAGCCACACGGAGACACGCAGACCUGAUUCUGAUUCAGGAGCAAAGAUGAGCCACUGAGGGGUUUUAAGUAGAAAAACGGGACAAUGAAUUCUGCAUUUUGGCAGGGAUAAAGUCAGACCUCCUCAUGGACGUGAUACUGUCCCUCCCAAAGUGGCCCUGACACUGACCCUGUGCCCCCUCUGCUCCCUCCACCAGGAUGCCCCUUCCUCCCAUGGCCGCUCCCCACCCACUCCUGCCAGCUGGAAGGCAGCGGACACUUCGUGGUUGGAUGGUGAAUGAACACACGAAGGAAGGAAUGAAGACCCACCUUUCUGUACCGAGCAGGAGGCACCCACCCCCCCCCAGGAGUCCCAGAGCACCAGUUCCCCUCCCUUAGGGCCCUGAUAGCACUGGCCUUGUCUCCUUUUCAGGACCAUAAAUUGUCCAAACAAACACCAGGCCUGGCACAGCUGGAUGGCCCCCAGCCCAGAGGGAAUGGACUUUUAUUAAAUUUCUUCUCCGCGCCAGGGACUUUAUGUGCCUUGAAUCAUCUCACAACAGAGUGGGGUAUGAGUCAUCAUCACAACACCUUGGAGGAAGAAGUAGGUGUCUGUGCACAAAGUGACUCACCCACGGCUGAGAAGACCAGGACGCGGAAGUCUGAGCCGCCAAAGAACAGGUGCACCUUCUACUGGCCCAGGUUACCUUGCAAGGCAGCUUUGCCACUUGCUUUCUGACAGCAUGAAAAAGAUGCCUUAAUGAGAGUAUUAAACAAAACAGUGUGGAGCGCCAGCAACUGGGUGCCCAGGAGCGCUUUCAGGAGAGGUCACUGGGGUUGAGUGGUGAUGGGUGAGGGAGGAUCACCAGGGGAAGAAAGGAGUGCCUUUGCGGAAGGCAAGGAAGAUUUGGAUGGGGCUUUGAGUGGCACGAAGAACUGGGAUAGCCAGUCAGACCUGGGCACUCCACAGCUACUUAGCAUCUUCGGUGUGCCGGGCACUGCGCUGGGUCCUGGGGCUGUGGCAGUGGACUUGCCCUCAGGAAGGGGACCUCUGGGGGGAGGCAGCCAAAGAACACAGCAAGGAAAUAAAUGAUAGGGUACAUGAGCCAGUGGUCAGUGCUGUGCAAAAAAAGCAGGGAAGGGAGAGAAGUGUUGGGAGGUCUCUCUGGGGAGGAGACACUCGCACAGGGACCCGAAGGAGGUGAGAGAAGGAUCUGAGUGCAGAUCUGCGGGAGGAGCGUCCAGACAUAGGGAGCAGCCAGAGAAGCUGGACUCACACCUGCCCACACAGGGGCCGUGGUGCAGGUGUAGAGGACCAAAGAGCAAGGAAGCUGUGCUGGGACUGAGUGAGGAGAGAGAGGACGUGAGGGCAGAAAGCUAACCCGGAAGGAGGGGGUGGCAUGUGGGCGUGGUGAGGACCUGCGUCUUACCCUGCUCACCACAGAGAAGGGACAAGAUGUGACUUAGGUUUUUAAUGGGAUCCCUGUGGCUAUGAGUGGGGGAAAGACGAAGGGGGGACCAGGGCAGGAACCGGAAGAUGUGACUGCCAUGACCCAGACCACAGGUGGCAGCACUCUGACCAGGGUAUUCCUAGUUUCUCAAAACUGGGACAGCCCAGAUGUCCAUCAACAGGGGAACGGAGGGCACCUGGGUGGCUCAGUUGUUAAGCAUCUGCCUUUGGCUCAGGUCA